Molecule: non-coding RNA, 72 nt
Organism: Caenorhabditis brenneri
Lineage: Eukaryota; Metazoa; Nematoda; Chromadorea; Rhabditida; Rhabditidae
Source: the annotation of a GenBank genome assembly
GCCCCCGUGGCCUAGUGGCUAACGCUCUUGUUUUCCAAUUUUCAUAUCCCGGGUUCGACCCCCGACGGGUCA